UAUCUGGCUAAUAAAACACUUUGGCAAAGGCCACUAAUAAGCAAACCCGUAAAGGCAGAAAAGCCAACUAUAAACAGACAUGAAUUGAUCAGCAUUUGAUGUUUAAGAUGAAAAUAGCCGUGCAAAUUCAGUAAUCCACAUGUGUUUGUGUCUCCACAGAUCGCAGAACUGGUUGCCACCGAGUUCUUUGAACAAGGCGAUAAGGAGCGGAGAGAGCUGAACAUUGAGCCUAUUGAUCUGAUGAACAGGGAGAAGCAGGAUCAAAUUCCCAGCAUGCAAGUGUCUUUCAUUGAUGCCAUUUGUACGCAGUUAUAUGAGGCGCUGACGGGUCUCUCGGAGAACUGCUCCCCCCUGCUGGAGGGAUGUAGGAAGAACAGGCAGAAUUGGAAGAUUCUUGCUGAACAAGGAGAAGAAGGAGCUUUGCUGAAAGAAGCACUUUAACCUCUCUGUCUUCCUCGGACUCUUCGCAUCAUUCCCUGGCCCUUCCCCAGAGACUGAAGGACUGCAGGACCCUGGUGUGACGACUUCCACACAGCACUCUUGAGUAGGCUUGGGUGAAAGAUGUCUCAGAAUAAAGUCACUUCAUGAAUCGAGGUUGAUGUGCGAUAAAACACUUGAUGGAACAGAGAAGGAUGGAUCGUUACCUGUGCAGUGAUCCAGCGGAUGAAGAGACGUGCUUUAAAACUGUGACUAAAACAUCUUGACUCAUUGGAGGAAUGUUCCAGGUUCAAUACAAGUAUUUUUGACAUGCUGUUACCACAGAAAAUCAUUUUAUCACAAAAAACGUAGACUGUAAAAAAAUGUUCGUAGUUUU
Molecule: long non-coding RNA, 814 nt
Organism: Rhinichthys klamathensis goyatoka
Lineage: Eukaryota; Metazoa; Chordata; Actinopteri; Cypriniformes; Leuciscidae
Exons: 3
Source: RefSeq, a predicted model, not a curated record